Molecule: small RNA, 5886 nt
Filed under: Pan troglodytes (chimpanzee)
Lineage: Eukaryota; Metazoa; Chordata; Mammalia; Primates; Hominidae
Description: retained intron
Source: RNAcentral
AUGUUUUAUUUGGCCUCUCUCCGUACCCUCUUUUAAUUCAUGAAAUAAGGUUUACUUUAUAGCAAAUUCAGUCCUGUCAGAUCUGCUACUUAACAUCCUUUAAGUUUAGCCCUCCCCAAUUAUAAGGCAGGGAAUUCCAUGCACAUUCUCCUAGUGACAAAAUGACAGCCCCUGCCAGUCUCUUCUGUCUCCAUUCCUGCGUCGAGGCCUGAAAUCCAGUCUUCCGUACCUACUGGAGACCAAAUGUGCCAGGCUUGUCUUACAAUACUUAACAUUUCCUCUGCCUUUCUGUCUUAACCUUCUAGUCAAGUACAUUAAAAACCUAGGCCCGGCCUUCGUCUCUUUCUUUGCCCUCCCCACCCCAUUCAUCCCAUACCUGGUUAACAAUGAUUUGUCCUUCCUGUGUGCCCAUAGGACUCAUUCCUUUAGUCUAGCACAUACCACACUCAUUACUUGUUCAGUGUCUUUCCAGCUCCCACCCACAGUUCUAUGAGAAAGGGAACAGUGUUUUAAUUUUUGUUUCCCUCCUUCUUACUGUAGUUCCCUAUAUACGUAGUGGAGCCUCAAUAAAUAUUGGUUGAAUGAAUGUUAAUUCGUAAGUAAAUAUAAAAUGUAUUCUGUUACUCAUAAUUAUCUGAAUAAUCUUAAUGUAUGGAUUGUUUGUAAAAUUGAACGCAUUGGAAAAAUGUUCAUUUAUUCUGUAAACAUUUGCAAAUGUCUACUAUGAUCUGGAGCUAUAAAAAUUUUAAGACAAAAUUCCUGUCUUCAAAAUUUUCACAGUGGGAUCAGGGAACAGGGAAGCCCGUAUUUAUCAGAGUGCUUUUAGUUUAUCAUUUGCUAUUAAAAACAUUAUUGGAAGUUUGUUCACAAGAUAACAAAAUGUGUGUUUAUAUUUAUUAACUAUGGUCCGACCUUUGAAUGUUCCCCUAAAAAUGUUACUGGAUUCUAAAAGACAUGAGAAGAAUCAGAUUCAUUUUAGAAUCUAAGUAGAUGGUUUCUUUUUCUUUAUUAGGCGCUUUGACUUCCGUCCAAAACCUGAUCCUUAUUGUCAAGCUAAGUAUACUUUCUGUCCAACUGGCUCACCUAUCCCAGUUAUGGAGGGUGAUGAUGACAUUGAAGUUUUUCGAUUACAAGCCCCAGUAUGGGAAUUUAAAUAUGGAGACCUCCUGGAACACUUGGUAAGGAUGCAUCUUGGUCUUAUAACUUUGGUUAAUUCAAUGAUUUGGUUAUUAAGUUGAUUUUUAAGGAGUAAUCACUAUUUAGAUGGCUGACUUUAGAUCAUGUUGGUGUUUGUCUUAGUACAUUUAAAAUGAGUAGUCAAAAAUAGUUACUAUCAGAUUUUGUAAUCUUGACAACAACAAAUGUAAUCACCAUUAUCCAUUGUAAUAUUAUGAAUCUGAAACCAGCUCCUGUACCUAGCUCCUGGAAGGUGAGAAGAGGCCCAGAAGUGGCAGGGCAGGCAGGUAACACCUCUUGAUUUCCAUACCCUGUUGUAGUCACUUUUCCAGGUUAACCCAUCACCAUGUGAGGUCUGUAGAGCUGCUUCCAGAGACUGGCAUGGGGGCUCCUCACACUUAUUCUAAGCUCUAAGGAAAUUAUGAGCUUGUCCACAUAACAUGCAGGCCUCCUAUUUGAGAUGAGCCAAAUAGGGGUGUAGUGGCCAAAGCCGGGGUGGAUGAGGGCCUGGAGUUUGGGGCCACAGAGUGGAUAUGAAAAUAGCAGCAUGGAAGAACAGCUGAACAGUUGUUCUACUUGAUAUGCAUUUGUGAUGUGCCACAUUUUCUCCUAUCAGGUUACCUGGACCCAUGGUUGUGUCACAGUUGCUUUUAUACAUGUACUGUCUUUACACAGAAAAUUAUGCAUGAUGCCAUUGGAUUCAGAAGUACAUUAACUGGCAAGAACUACACAAUGGAAUGGUAUGAACUUUUCCAACUUGGCAACUGUACAUUUCCCCAUCUCCGACCUGAAAUGGAUGCCCCUUUCUGGUGUAAUCAAGGCGCUGCCUGCUUUUUUGAGGGAAUCGAUGAUGUUCACUGGAAGGAAAAUGGGACAUUAGUUCAAGUAGCAACUAUAUCAGGUAAGUUUUGAAAAUAUAGUAAUAUUUGAUCAUUGCAUCAAAAACCAAAUGAAAGAAAUUGUUAUACUUCCAUUGAAACAUUUCAGUAAUGUUUUACUUAGAGGUCAUUUGUAAAAUGUACUUUUGGAACCAUUAAACUUUGGGAAUUUUUUUCAUCUCUUAUUUGUAUUUUUUAUUUAUUUUAUUUGAAUAGGUUUGUGGGGAACUGGUUAUGUUAAGUUACAUGAAUAAGUUCUUUAGUGGUGAUUUCUGAGAUUUUUGCGCACCCAUCACCCGAGCAGUGUACACUGUACCCAAUGUGUAGUCUUUUAUCCCUCACCCCUCUCUGACCCUUUUCCCCGACUUCCCAAAGUUCAUCAUUCUUAUGCCUUUGCAUCCUCAUAGCUUAGCUCCCACUUACAAGUGAGAAUACACAAUGUUUGGUUUUCUAUUCCUGAAGAGUUACUUCACUUGGAUGGAAUUGGAGACCAUUAUUCCAGGUUGCUGCAAAUGCCAUUAUUUCAUUCCUUUUUAUGGCUGAGUAGUAUUAUUCCUUGGUAUAUAUACACCACAUUUUCUUUAUCCACUCAUUGAUUGAUGGGCGUUUGAGCUGGUUCCAUAUUUUUGCAAUUGCAAAUUGUGCUGCUAUAAACAUGCAUGGGAAAGUAUCUUUUGCGUAUAAUGAGUUCUCUUCCUUUGGGUAGAUACCCAGUAGUGGGAUUGCUGGAUCAAAUGGCAGUUCUACUUUUAGUUCUUUAAGGAAUCUCCACAGUGUUUUCCAUAGUGGUUGUACUAAUUUACAUUCCUACCAGCAGAGAAGAAGUGUUCCCUUUCCCCCACAUCCCGCCAAUAUCUAUUUUUUUUUAUUUUUUGAUUAUGGCCAUUCUUGCAGGAGUGAGGCGGUAUUACAUUGUGGUUUUGAUUUGCAUUUCCCUGAUCAUUGCAUUUCCCUGAGCAUUUUCAUGUUUCUUGGCCAUUUGUAUAUCUUCUGAGAAUUGUCUAUUUGUGUCCUUAGCCACCCCCACCCCGCCUUUUUUUUUUGUUUGUUUUUUUGAGGUGGAGUUUUGUUCUUGUCGCUCAGGCUGGAGUGCAAUGACACAAUCUCAGCUUGCUGCAACCUCCACCUCUUGGGUUCAAGCGAUUCUCCAGCCUUAGCGUCCCAAGUAGCUGGGAUUACAGGCGCCCGCCACCAUGCCAAGCUAAUUUUUGUAUUUUUAGUAGAGAUGGGGUUUCGCCAUGUUGGCCAGGCUGGUCUCAAACUCCUGACCUCAGGUCAUCUGCCCACCUCGGCCUCCCAAAGUGCUGGGAUUAAAGGUGUGAGCCACCACUCCCGGCCGUUAACCCACUUUUUGAUGGGAUUGUUUUUUUCUUGCUGAUUUGAGUUCCUUGUAGAUUCUGGAUAUUAGUCCUUUGUCAGAUGUAUAGAUUGCAAAGAUUUUCUCCCACUCUGUGGGUUGUCUAUUUACUCUGCUGAUUGUUCCUUUGGCUGUGCAGAAGCUUUUUAGUUUAAUUAAGUCUCAUCUAUUUAUAUUUGUUUUUGUUGCAUUUGCUUUUGGUGGAACCACUAAACUCUGACCCAAACUAUUACUCAUGCAGAACUUCACCUGUUGGUGAUGAGUAGCUUAUCUCUGAUCUUUGAAUGUUUCCCUAAAAAUGCUCUUUUCCUAUCAUAAAAAUGAAUAAAAUGAUAAAACAUUUUGUACAAUUAAAUUGGUCUUUCUAAACGAAAUAGUAAGAGAAAUCCAUAAAAUGCCUGAUUAAAGGAUAUGUUAACUAUAUCUGAAAAAAAUUUUAGUGAUGAUAUUUUUAUGUUGAAAAAUAAUAGCUACUAAUAUAGACUGGUUCUGGCACUGUUCUGAGUACUGUACAUAUAUCACAUCAUUCAUCAUCACAACUUCUGGAGGUAGUAACUAUUAUUUUGCCUAUUUUACAGAUGGAGAAACUGAGGCACAGAGAGGUUAAAGUUACACAGCUUAGUAAGUGGGACUCCAACCCUGGCAGUUACGCCCCAUUGCCCAUUCUCCUAACUACUUUGAUACAUUGCCUCCCAAAAUGUAUAUGAUCUUAUAUUUGAGACCCUCUUGAGCAGUUUAAAUAUUUUAUCUUUGAGAUUUUUUUCUUCUUUUGGAUGUAUUGGAAAGUUGCUGAAAGUUGGAAUUGUGUUGCAAGUGAUGCAUUGUUGGUUAGUAAUGAAAAGAGUUCAGCAAUCCUUUCAUUGGUAACUCCUUAUGUGACUUGGGUCACAUUUUAUAUCUUAUUGGCCCAUUGCCUCAUGUGCAAAAUGGAGACAAUAUACCAUAGCAUUUGAGAAGUAAGGAGCUUGUCCAUAUGAUUUAUGAAGCAUUACAUUAUAAAUUGCUGUUCCCCAGAACAGUAGAAACAUCUGAAAUGAAAGCACUGUUGUGACAAUAAUUAUUCAGUGAACCCCAGGACUUGAGGAAGUAAUCAUGCUUCCUAUUUGUAUAGCUCUUUACAAAUGAUUUGGAGGUAUGUUAACUCACGGUUCAGUGGAGAGGAUAAGAUACUCAUUCUCUGCAAAUAAGGAAUUGAGGCUCAGCCAGGUAACAUGACUUACUUGCCUCUCAAGGUCAAAGAGCUGGAUGUAGCAGAAUCAGGAAUAAAACUGAGGUCUCUUAAAUGUAACAAGGAUCUGUUAGCCGAAUGCACCAUGUUGUUUUCUAAUCUUUCCUGCUACUUUCUAAUCAAUGUGCCUUAAACCAUACCAACAAUACAAAAGUCCAUCAUUAGCGGCUCUUUCUUUCAUUCCAGGCCAGUUCACACCUUUCCCCAUUUCCACCUACAUCGUUAUCUGAAAAUCCUUCCUUCUGACAUAAAGUCAAUGAUCAUAUGAAUAAGUGAUCACUAUUUUUUGUAAAAUAGUUCAAAAUAUGCCAGUACUUAAAUCUUUUAAGUCAUUUAUUUGCCUUGUGAAUAAUCCUGUGAUUGACAAAAUAGUGUUUUGAAGCAUUCUUGUCUCAUAAGGAUAGUGGUGGCAUUUGAAAGUUGAAGAAUGCUAAGAACAGUAUCCCCAGUUCUAAUACAACAGGCUUUAUUCUGUUCUACAAUGUUAAUUCCAUAAAAUUGAUAAAGGCAGUCACUCUAUUCAUUUUACAGAACAUGAAGUAUUUAUUUUAUGGACUCAAGUUGGAGUAACCAAAGAGGUUUGCACACAGUGACAGGAUGCAGUGUUUGGGGCCCAGUUCUAUUAGGCAUUAUAAAUGCCCAAGAUGAGAGUUGUAACCAUGCAGAGUAGUGUUUUCUGAAUAUUUGGAAAGAUUCUUCUGGUGUAGUACAAGAUGGUAGGAGAGAGGGUUAGCCAUCCUGGAGUAUGGACUCGGCCUAAAACAUUUCCAGUUUAGUUGAUUUGUUGGAAGGACUUAACAUGGCAGGUGGAGAGGUCAUCAGCAGCAUCCCAACAACUCCAAGUACAGGGAAGAAAGAAACGUACCAAACACACAAGGUGGAUGGGGUAUGGUGCUUGUUCUCAUAACAGUAAUAGCCAGCCUUCUAGAGCAGUGGCUCCUCAGGCAGCCAUUCACUCUUUAUGUGUAGCAUGCUUUGCAACAGUGAAGCUCCACAUUUCCCACACCUCCAUUUUCCUUACACUGUCUUUGCCCAUUCUGCUUUUCCUCUUUCGCAAUUCUUUUUGUGCUUUCCUUUUCUCUUUUGCCUCUGAAUCCAAGAUUUGGUGAGUUGGGUAGAGAAAGAGAGCUUCUGCAUUUGUAUAAUUUCGCUUUGACUAUAGCUUAAAUGAUUAUAGAAUUAGUAUGUAAGAUGACUUCUCCUUAUACACCUAUUAUAUCUAAUGUUUACAAUUCAGAAAUAUCUUG